Molecule: ribosomal RNA, 460 nt
Filed under: uncultured bacterium
Lineage: Bacteria
Description: partial 16S ribosomal RNA
Rfam family: Bacterial small subunit ribosomal RNA
Source: RNAcentral
CCUACGGGAGGCAGCAGUGAGGAAUAUUGGUCAAUGGACGAGAGUCUGAACCAGCCAAGUAGCGUGAAGGAUGACUGCCCUAUGGGUUGUAAACUUCUUUUAUAUGGGAAUAAAAUGUUCCACGUGUGGGAUUUUGUAUGUACCAUAUGAAUACGGAUCGGCUAACGUCGUGCUAGCAGCCGCGGUAAUACGGAGGAUACGAGCGUUAUCCGGGUUUAUUGGGUUUAAAGGGAGCGUAGGUGGAGUGGUAAGUCAGUUGUGAAAGUUUGGGGCUCAACCGUAAGAUUGCAGUUGAAACUGGCAGUCUUGAGUACAGUAGAGGUGAGCGGAAUUCGUGGUGUAGCGGUGAAAUGCGUAGAUAUCACGAAGAACUCCGAUGGCGAAGGCAGCUCACUGGACUGCAACUGACACUGAGGCUCGAAAGUGUGGGUAUCAAACAGGAUUAGAUACCCUGGUAGUC